RNAcentral lists this ribosomal RNA (253 nucleotides) under uncultured bacterium. Its description in RNAcentral is "partial 16S ribosomal RNA". It matches the Rfam family "Bacterial small subunit ribosomal RNA", at positions 96 to 353 of the family's 1533-position model. The record is from RNAcentral.
UGGCGGACGGGUGAGUAAUGUCUGGGAAACUGCCUGAUGGAGGGGGAUAACUACUGGAAACGGUAGCUAAUACCGCAUAACGUCGCAAGACCAAAGAGGGGGACCCUCGGGCCUCUUGCCAUCGGAUGUGCCCAGAUGGGAUUAGCUGUGGUGGGGUAACGGCUCACCAGGCGACGAUCCCUAGCUGGUCUGAGAGGAUGACCAGCCACACUGGAACUGAGACACGGUCCAGACUCCUACGGGAGGCAGCAUG